CCUACGUGAGACAGCAGUGGGGAAUAUUGCACAAUGGGGGAAACCCUGAUGCAGCGACGCCGCGUGAGUGAAGAAGGAAUUCGUUAUGUAAAGCUCUAUCAGCAGGGAAGAAAAUGACGGUACCUGAGUAAGAAGCCCCGGCUAACGACGUGCCAGCAGCCGCGGUAAUACGUAGGGGGCAAGCGUUCUCCGGAUUUACUGGGUGUAAAGGGAGCGUAGACGGCAGUGCAAGUCUGGAGUGAAAGGCGGGGGCUCAACCCCCGGACUGCUCUGGAAACUGUACGGCUGGAGUGCAGGAGAGGUCAGUGGAAUUCCUAGUGUAGCGGUGAAAUGCGUAGAUAUUAGGAGGAACACCAGUGGCGAAGGCGGCUUACUGGACUGUACCUGACGUUGAGGCUCGAAAGCGUGGGGAGCAAACAGGAUUAGAUACCCCUGUAGUC
RNAcentral lists this ribosomal RNA (440 nucleotides) under uncultured bacterium. RNAcentral's name for it is "partial 16S ribosomal RNA". It matches the Rfam family "Bacterial small subunit ribosomal RNA", at positions 338 to 795 of the family's 1533-position model. The record is from RNAcentral.